This 252-nucleotide ribosomal RNA is filed under the name uncultured bacterium. RNAcentral's name for it is "partial 16S ribosomal RNA". It matches the Rfam family "Bacterial small subunit ribosomal RNA", at positions 524 to 776 of the family's 1533-position model. The record is from RNAcentral.
UACGUAGGUCCCGAGCGUUGUCCGGAUUUAUUGGGCGUAAAGCGAGCGCAGGUGGUUUAUUAAGUCUGGUGUAAAAGGCAGUGGCUCAACCAUUGUAUGCAUUGGAAACUGGUAGACUUGAGUACAGGAGAGGAGAGUGGAAUUCCAUGUGUAGCGGUGAAAUGCGUAGAUAUAUGGAGGAACACCGGUGGCGAAAGCGGCUCUCUGGCCUGUAACUGACGCUGAGGCUCGAAAGCGUGGGGAGCAAACGGG